Molecule: long non-coding RNA, 13103 nt
Organism: Sapajus apella (tufted capuchin)
Lineage: Eukaryota; Metazoa; Chordata; Mammalia; Primates; Cebidae
Exons: 2
Source: RefSeq, a predicted model, not a curated record
ACAAAUUCAUUGAAAGGUUUCAAGUUGGGAAGUUAAGUGGAGAGAUUCUGGUUUGUAAGUAGAAGAAGGUGAGAGAGGCCCAGAGACUGAAUUAAUAACUGAGACUAUAGUAAUGGAGGACAUGUGUGGUGGAGGUUGCUUAUGUCUUUUUAGAGGGAUUAUAUGUAUUAAGACUGAAUUUCUCUAGAAUUUGAACUGGUCCUCAGAAAACACAUUGUGAAGUUGUACUUCUUGUCUGGUAUUUAUAGCCCUGAUUUCUCUGAGGGUAUAGAAAUAUCAUUUAGAGAGAAAGAAAGGUAUUUCUUUUUAAAUGAUAUUUCUAUACUCCGAGGGUAUAGAAAAAUUAUUUAGAAAGAAAGACCCAUGUUUGUGGGUCUGGCAUAUAGUAAAGUGUACGUGUUUCUUAUUUUUGCCUUGCCCUUUAUCAGAUGUCUAUCCACAUUGCUUAUAUUUUUCAGUGUUCCUUUCGUUUUGUGUUUACUUUCUCUCUCCAUUUCCUCUGAGAGAUUGAAUUUAAAUUGCUUCUUUAGUGCUUACCUAAUACACAGUUGUCCUCUGUUUAAUUUUAAAGAGAAAAAAAGGAAAAAAAAUGCAACUUUUAGAAAUCAACAUAUCAUGUAACUUUGGGAACUCAAUGAUUUCUUUUUGUUUUUGAGGACAGCGGUAGGAAGUAAAUGCAUUGAUUUAGUGUGUCUUUUCAGACUUUAAAAUUUUGCUUAUCAUAAGGAGGAGUCAUAAGAAACAUAGCUCCAGUGAACAAUUAUUUGAUGGAAGGAGGAAGUGCUAUUGUCAGAGACAGUGGCAAAGCCAGAAAUAGGUUUUCUUAGAGGCUUUUCUUUGCCCUUACUUUUCUUUGUUAACUUAUUUUCUGUUUGUCCUGAGUAAUCCCUAAACUAUGUCCUGGGAAAUCCUUUAUGAUGGCAAGGAUUACAUUAGGAAUUCCUCAAAUGCUGAUUUGAUUGUCAUUAAUGGUAUGCUUUUUGAAAUAUGGAGAGUAUGUUUUUCCCUGCUUAAGACUAAUGGCUUUUCUAAAUAGAGCUGAUUGUAUCUCCAUGUUAUUGUGAGAGCAGGCAGCAGCCUGUAUUUGGACACCACCUCAAUGAAGGCUUAUUUUGUCUUGGAUGCUAGAGAAAUCUUAGUGUACUGUGUCCGUUACCUCAUAUUCCUUCCAGACAGAGGACCUGCUGUUGUGAAGGAACAUUUCUAUACUGGACAUGAGUCUCCUGGGGUUCUCCAUAUUGCCAUGCUCCAUCAUCCUCUGACAAGGGCCAUGACACAGCACUCCUCACAUUCAGCUGUGAGUCUGAGGAGAAACAAAAGGGGCAUUCUCCUUGGUGCACCAUGGAGAGCCUCUGAAAUGUUAGCUUUCCCUGUUGCUUACAGCCUUUGUCGUUCCAGUUACCUUGGACCUUAUUUUGACUUCUUGCCACUUUCCCAGACCAGCAGAAGACAGGCUACCUUCCGAAUCUUGAUUGGAGUUAUAUACAAGUAUUUGCGUAUACUCGCAAAGGAAAGAGAGACCCCUCCCAAAUCAUGGGCUUGGAGGAAAUUAUCUUUGCUGUCUGAACUUUUGUUUUGGCCAGGGCUUGGGGCCGGUUUUAUCUUUUCUGUUUUUGUUUGCAUUUUGUCAGUAAAACAAUACUAAAGAAUACAGAGAGUAAUAAAACAUUGAUAUUUAUACUGUUCAGAACCGAAAUUGGUUAAUAUUUUAUUCUACUUUGAGUGUAUUUUUCAUUAAAAAGAAAUAAUAUUAUACAUAAAAUUGGAGUACCUUUUUUCUACUACUCUCAGCCCUGAUUCUUACUCCAAGACGUAAUCACUAGCAGAAAUUUGAUAUGUAUCCUUGACGUCUAUUUUUCAUAUUUUAUAUCUCCAUUAAAAUAUAAAGUAGCAUUUUAUAAUUCUUUGUUAGUUGAAUUGCAGUUUCUUCCCUCAUAUGUGGCUUUUCAACGUACAACUUUUAGAUGCAACUAAUGUCUGAUUUGUCUGUCCUUAACUCUAUGGUUUAUUCUUAUUGCAUCUUUUUAGAGAAAACUAUUUUCCCCCAAAGUGCACUUAAGAUAAGGUCCUAAUUUUUUUCUAAAGGUGUUUUUACAUUUAUGACUUAAAUCUACCUGGCAUUUGUUUUUGCGUAUAGUUUUAAAUAGAGGUCUGAGGGUUUCCCCCUAUAUGGAUAAUUGGUAUUUACCACUGAUCUGCAAUGCCACAUUUGUCAUAUGUCUUAUUUUUUAUAUGGAUGCUUCUGUUUCAGGACCCUGUUCUAUUCCAUUGGUGUAUUUGUCCAUCCCUUGUACUAUUACAACGUUGGUAAAUUACUUUAUAUUAAGUCUUAAUUCCCAGUAAGAGUAAGUUUUCCUACCUUGUUGUUGCUUUUCAGAUUGUUGUAGUUAUUGUAGCCCCUUUUCACUUCCAUAUGAACUUUAGGUUCAGCUUAUGAGUUCUAUAAAAAUUCUGUUGUAAUUUGGAUUUUGAUUACAUUACAUUUUAUUGGCUUAUUUGGAAAGAAUUUACAUUGUGAUGCUAUUAUGUAUUCCUAUUUGUGAACACAGAAUGUUUUUUUGUUUGACUCAGAACAUUUUUUAUUUCCUUCAGUAAUGUUUUCUAAUUUUCUUGCAAAGGCCUUGUGCAUCUUUAAGUUUCUUUUUAGGUAUCUUAAACAUUUUGUAGCCAUUUGAAGUGAAAUCAUUUUUUUCUGUUAUCGUUUCUAAUUGAUUAUUGUUACUCUAUAGAAAUGACAUUGAUUUUUUUUAUGGUGAUCAUGUAUCUGUCAGUCUUAUAUACAGAGUAAUUAAUCUUUAUUUUCUGUUGGAUUUCUAUGGAGACAGUUAUGUCUAUACAUAAUUUUUAUACCUUUUUUUUCUUGGAUAUGACCUCUGGUAUAAUAUUAAAAAUGAAUAGUAAAAAAGAUCGUCUUUAUCUUUUUCCUCACUUCACAGGGAAUGUAUCUAAAGUUUCAAUGUGUAGUAUUUCAAUAUAAAUGCUGACUUUUGCUAUAGGGUUUUGAUAGGUUCAGGUAGUUUCUAUCUCUGUUUUUCUAAGAGUUUCUUUUAUAACAAGUGGACAUUGAAUUUUGUAGAAUGUUCUUUUUGUAUUGAGAUGAGCAUGUUUUCUUCUGUAACUCUUCAUUUUAAUAUGAUACAUUUUCAGAUAUUGAACCAUUUAUGCAUUCCUGGUAUAUUCAACUUGGUUGGGAAAUAUUAAAUUUUCUUUUUAAACAUGUAGAAUUUAAUUUUAUAAUGUUAUUUGGGAUGUUUCCAUCUAUUUUCAUAUGUAAAAUUGGCCUUUAAUUUUUUGCGGUUCUUGUCUGGUUUUUUGAAGGUUGCACUGGCUUCAUGUAAUGCAUUGAGUUGGUGAUUUCAUAUUUAUUUCUACUAAAUAACUGUUUCAUUUGGAUUUAAAAUUUAAUAGUCAUUUAUAAGCUUAUGAUUUGGGGGUAGGUGUUUUAGAUUUUAAUUAUUAUAUUUAAUUUUCAUUUGGAUGGGCAAUACUUCCACAUGGAACCUGACUGGAAAUUGGAAAAGGAUGUAUACCACAAAAUAAGUCUUCUUACCAUUUGUAUCCUUAGUAAUUACUCAAGUAUUUGGCCCCUAGGCAGCUACUGAUACUAUUUUCUUGUUAUAGUUUCCAUUGCUAUUUAGUGUGUAAUUUUUAUACACAAAUGGUCACAAAACAAUACACUCUGUACUAUAUCUUGUCUUUUCAUUUAACAGUAGAUCUUCAACAUUAUUCUAUAUUGAGGGUCUUUGUGAUUUUAAAAAUGUACUACUGUAUAACAAUAUUCGUCUCCUUUUUAGUUGUAAUAAUGCCUAUUUCUGCCUUUCCAUUUUUUCUUUAUCAGUCCUGCUGACUAUCUUUUAGUAGUGUCCUUUGUUUAACAGCAGAUUGACUGAAGUAUGUGACAUAAAUUUUACCCCUUUUAGUGUACCUUUCUGAAUUUUGACAAACACUAUAGGUAUAUAUUCACCAAUAUAAUCAGAAUAUAGAACAGUUCCAUCAUCCAAAAAAUGCUAAUAUUCCUUAACUCUUCUCCUUGACUCCUACCCUCUGGCCACUACUGAUCUGUUUUCUGUUCCUGCUGUUUUGAUUUUUUCCAGCAUGUCAGAUAAAUGGAAUCAUGUAGUAUGUAGCCUCUUUUUAAUUGAAAUUUUUAUUGUGAUAAUUGUAGAUUGACAUGUAUUUGCAAGAAGAAUACAGCAAGAUCCCAUAUACCCUUUACCUAGUUUCUCUCUAUUGUAAAAUUUUGCAGAACCACAGUACAACAUCACAACCAGAAUCUUAAUGUUGGUAUUGUCCAGCGAUCUUACUCCGACUUCUUGACCUAAAACCACACACACACACACACACACACACACACACACACACACAAAUGAGUUUUAUUGUGUGUGGAGGGGUUAUCCAUGCAUUUUAUUGGGGUUAUUUUAACCAUCUGGAAGACCUCUGAAAAGCAUCGGGAUUGAUUUCAGGUUUUGGUUUUUACAAAUAAGAGAAUCUUCUAUGAACAUUUGUGUGCAGGUUUUUGUGUAAACAUUAAUUUUCAUUCCUCUGGAAUAAAUGCUCUGAGUGCCAUUGCUGGGUCAUAUGAUAAUUGCACGUUUAGUUUUAUAAGAAACUACCAAACUGUUCUCCAGAAGGGCUGUACCAUUUUGCAUUCCCACCAGCAAUAGAUGUGUAAUCCAGUUUCACUGCAUUCUUGCCAGUGUUUGGUGCUGUCAUCAUUUUUUUAAUAGUAUCCAUUGUGAUAGGUGUGUAAUGAUAUCUCAUUGUGAUUUUACUUAUGUUUUUCUGAUGGCUAAAGAUGUUGAACAGUUUUUCAGGUACGUCUUUGCCAUAUUUAAAGUCUCUUUGGUGAAAUGUAUUUUCAUGGUUUUUGCUCACUUUUUAAUUGGAUUUUUAAUUUCUUUACUGCUGAGUUUUGAGAGGUCUUUAUAUAUUUUAGAAAGUAGCUGUUUGUUGGAUAUUGGUUUGCAAAUUCAUUCUCUUGGUAUGUAGCUUGUCUGUUCAUCCUUUUUACAUUACCAUUCAGAGAACAAAAAUUUUUAAUUUGAGUGUGUUUCAAUUUAUCAGUUUUUUCUUUGAUGAAUUGUGCUUUUAGUGUUAAUUAACUCUUUGCCUAGCCAUAGAUAUCAUUUUCUUUUUUCCCUAAAAGUUUCAAAGCUUUACUUUUUAUGUUUGCAUCCAUAAUCCAUUUUGAGUUAAUUUUUGUCUAAGGUGUGAGAUUUAGGUUGAGGUUCAUUUUUUUUUUGCCUAUAGUUGUCCAGUUGCUUCAGCAUUGUCCAUUGAAAAGGCCGUCUUUUCCCCAUUGUGUUGCUUUUGUGCCUUUUUCAGAAAUCAGGAAAGUGUAUUUGUUUUGGUGUAUUUGAUUUGUUUUUCUUUUCUUUUCCAAUGAUCUGUAUAUUUGUUGCUGUAUGUCUCUGAUGAGUAUCACAAUCUCUUGAUUACUGUGACUAUAUAGUAAGCUUUGAUUAAUGUUGAACGAUUCCUCACACUUUACUCUUCAAGAUUGUUUUAGCUAUUUUAGGGCCUUUGCCUUUCCAUAUAAAUUUUGGACUAAUUUUAUCUCUGUCUAGAAGAAAACUUUGCUGGAGUUUUGACAGGAAUUUUGUUAAACCUAUAGAUCAAUUUGAGGAAGGUUAAUAUUUUUUUAGUAUGCGGGAUCUUUCAGUACAUGAAUAUAGUAUGUCUCUCUGUCUAGGCCUUCUCUGAUUUCUUCCACUAGCAUUUCAUAAUUUUCAAUGUACAAGUCCUAUAUGUCUUUUAUAUGAUUUACACCUAAGUAUUAUAGUCAAUUUGCGUUGCUUAAUGACAGGGAUACGUUCUGAGAAAUGCAGCGUUAGGUGAUUUUGCUAUGUAAACAUCAUAAAGUAUACUUACAUAAACUUAGAUAGUAUAGUCUACUACACCCCUAGGUUAUAUGGCGUAGUUCAUUUUCCUAUAUGGUGUAGGAUGUGGAUUAAGUGUUUUGUUUUGGCAUAUGGGUGCCAGUUACUCCAGCAGUAUUCACUGGUAAGGCUAUCCUUUUUCUAUUGAAUUGAUUUUAUACCUUUGUCAGAAAUAAACUAAUCAUAUAGGUGGCCUGUAUUUCUGUAUUCUGUGUUUUAUUGACCUAUAUCUCUGUCUUUUUGCCAGUACCACACCAUCUUGAUUACUAGAGCCUUAUAGUAACUGUUCAGUUAAGGUAGUGUGGGUUCUCCAACUUUGAUCUUUUUCAACAUGAUUUUAGCUGUUCUAAUUCCUUGCCUUACAUAUAAAUAUUAGGAUAUGCUUUUUGAAGACUAGGAAACAUACUUCUGGGAUUUUGAUUAGGAUUGUGUUGAAUUUAUAGAACAAUUCGGGCAGAAUUAACAUCUUAAUAGUAUUGAGUCUUCCUGUCCAUGAACCCAGUAUCUCUUUCCAUUUACUGAAGUAUUCUUUUAAAAACUGGUGUUGUGUAUUUUCCACAUAAGGAUUCUGCACAUAUUUUGUUACUUUUUAUUUAAGGAUUUCAUGUAUCUUGGUCCUAUUAUAAGUAGUACUGUUUUAAAAUUUCAAAUUCAGUUGUUCACUGCUAGGCAUAGAAUUACAGUUGAUAUUUGUAAUAGACCGUAUUCUACAGCCUUGCUAAAUUUAUUAAUUCUAGUAGAUUUUAAAUAAAUUGUUUGUAGACAGUCAUAUUGUCUGUUACUUAGCAUAGUAAUGUCUUCUUUUCCAAUCAGUAUGACUUUCUACUUUUUUGUUGUUUUUUAGACCUUAUUACAUUAACUUGGACCUCCAGUAUAAUAUUAGAGUAGGAGUAGUAACCACAGAACACCCUACCCUUUUUCCUUGUUUAGGAAGAAAUCAUUCAUUAUACCACUAAAAGUGAUGUUAACUCUAGGAUUUCUUGUUCAUGACCUUUAUUUGAUUAAGGAUAUUUCCUUCUUCCAAGUAUGCUGGAGUUUUUAUUAUGAGUGGGUGCUGAAUUUAUUCAAAUGCUUCUUCUGUAUCUAUUGAGAAGGCUGUACCAUUUUUCUUAAUUGAUGUAUCAAUACAGUAAAUUAUAUUAAUUGAACUUUUAACCAGCCUUGAAUUCCCAAGAUAAAUCCCACUUCAUUAUGAUGUAUUAUCUUUUCUUAUAUGUUCUUGAAUUUGAUUUGCUAAUAUUUUGUUAAGGAUUUUUGUGUUUAUGCUUAUAAGGGACAUUUGUCUGUAAUUUUCUUAAAAUGUCUUUGUUUUGUUUUAAUAUUAGGAUAGUGCUGGCCUCAUUUAUGACUAUUCUCUCCUUUUUUUCUGGAAGAGUUUUUGUGGAACAGUGUUAUUUUCUUCUAAAAUAUGUUGUAGAAAUUAUCAGUGAAGCCGUCUGAGCCUGUUAUCAGUGAAGCCACCUGAGCCUGGUGUUUCCUUUGCUGGAGGUUUUAACUGUGAAUUAAAUUUAUUUAAUGGAUAUAGCAUGAUUCAAAUUAUCUGUUUCUCCUUGUGUGAGCUGUAGCAGUUUGUAUUUUUGAAGGAAUUCAUCCAUUUAAUCAUAGUUGUUGAAUUUAUGAGCAUAAAGUUUUUCAUAGUAUUUGCCUAUCCUAAGCCUUUAAUGUCUAUGUGGUCAGUAGUGAUGUCCCCUUUUGUAGUCCCAAUAUUGGCAUCAUAUUUUCCUGAUCAGUCCAGCUAGAGGUUUAUCAAGUUUACUAACCUUUUUAAAGAACCAGCUUCAGAUGUUAUGAGUUUUCUCUUUUUCUUUUUCUAUAUUUCAUUGAUUUUUGCUCAUAUCUUUAUUAGUUUCUUUCUUCUUGCUUUGGAUUUAAUUUGCUCAUCUUUUAUUAUAGAUUUUUAAGCAUUGAUCAUUGAUUAGAUACUGUUCUUUUCUAUUGUAACAUUUAAUUCUAUAAAUUUUGCUUUAAGCACUUAGAUACAUUCUGUAAUUUGGGAUUUGUUAUAUUUUUAAUUUUCAUUGAAAUCAGACAUUUUCUAAUUUAUCUUGUGACUUCCUCUUUGACUCAUUGGGUUAUUUACAAGUGUGUUGUUUAUUUUCCAGAUAUUUUCUUUUUCAUUCCAGAGAUUUUCCUCAUCUUUCAUUAUUUCUCGUAUAACUUCUUUAUAGUCAGAGAAUGUACUUUGUACCAUUUCAAUUCUUUUAAAGAUUGUAGUGGUAUGUUUGAGGUACGUUUCUGGUUUCGAAUAUGGUCUUUCUUGGUCACUAUCUCAUAUGCACUAUGAGAAAAAAAUGUGUAUUCUGAUAUUGUUGGUCGAUAUGUUUACAAAUACCAGGUCAAGUUGUUAAUGUUAUUCAGGUCUUUUAUAUCAUUAACAAUUUUCUGUCUGCUUGUUUUAUCAAUUACUGAGAAAGGAGUAUUGAUUUCUCUAACUAUAAUUCUGGACUUGUUGAUUUUUACUUGUUCUACCAGUUUUUGUUUCAUUAUUUUUAGUGUGCUUUAUCAGUUUUUAGAACAUACACAUUUUAGAUUGUUCUGUCUUUCUGCUGGAGCUUGCCUCUCCCUGUCCAAUGGUUUUGCAUUUGCCUCUAAGCAGCUCCCCUAACUCCUGGUCCAGAACCAGCUCUUAUAAUGGAAUUUGGAGAAACUGUCCUGAAAUAAUUACAAAAAUAGUGUAUAUUCCUAGUCUUAAGCACCAGGUGAUUUGAUUCAAUUCCUGGUGGGAGCUAUCUUUUUGUUCUUUCACUUAGAACCAUUGCUCUUCACAUGCACCCCAAAACCUAAAAUGCAAUUAACAAAAAAAAAAAAGAACCAUUGCUCUACAGAGGUAGCCUUAGGCAGUGGAUCUGCACAAGUUUUCUUUUUUCAUCCUUAUUUCAUACACAACCUCUCAUCACCCAAUUCUACCCCUACUUCAAGCAGGGAACCUGGCUCUAGUUCCCCUUCCUCCCAUGGAGCACAUUAGUCUCCUUUGCUUUGUAGAAUCUGAACUCCUUACUGCUAAUGCUGCUCUAGAUUUCUAGCCUGGAGUUCUUGUGGUUUUAGUUCUAUGAUUUGUAUUUCUGUUCAGUUUCUGGUCCAUAGAGAUGCUUAUCAUUUUUGAGCCUGAGCUAUAUUUUCUUAGAUUAUUACAAGCUUUUACAUUUAAUCAGUUUUUACUCUGAGUUUGGAGCAGAGGUGCAUCAUGCUGAUAAAUGUGAAUUAAAAUGAUUUUUUUAACUUCUGUAUGGUGUUCUAUCAUAUGAAUAGAUCAUGUUCUAUUUAUCCAUUUACUAGAUAAUUUUUGAUAAUUGAAUUUAAGAAAUAAUGAGUUGAAACAAAUGUAGUUUCAUGACUUAAGCCCUGUUGAAAAACUAAAUGGAAAAUACUAAAUUCAGUUCAAGACACUUUGUUAUAUGUGAAAUGCAGAUAUUUGAAGAAGACAAGUGGGAAACAUCUAUGGCUUCAGCUAAGUAGGAGAAUGAGCUCUGUGGUGGAACUCAUAAAAAGAAAAGAGAGUUAGGAGUGAAUUUUUAGGACUACCCAAGUGUAGGUGAUAAUAAGAGAAAUGAGAUCCCUUGGAGAGAUAUUGAAUAGGGACAUUUGAAAUGUAGGAAGGAGAAAAGAAUUUCUAGAACAGUAUUUAUUAUUGCAGCAAACCACUCAAAUGAUGAAACUAAAACAAUGAUAGUCUCGGAAUAAAACCUGAGUUCUAAUCUCCACCAUUCCUUUCACUAGCUAUAAGGCUUUUGGUUAACAAACUGGGUCUCAAUUUUUACAUCUGUAAAGUAUGUAAUAAAUGGUUUACUAAGAUUCCUUCUACCUGUAAAAGGUGAUGCUUAUGUAUUUUAAUAAAUGGAAUGUUAGUGACCGUGACCUUGAGAAAACUGUUUGUGUAGUUUGUAAAGUCCCAGUUGUAAAAUGUUAAGGAGGUUUCUUUGAUGUCCCAGGAUAUGAUGCCAUAUCAAAAAUGAGAAAGCAUACUAUAGCAAGAGACAUUAGAUAACAGCAAUCAGAAGGUGUUUUGAAUAUACUUUUGAAUCCCUCCCAAUGCCUUGGGAAAAAAACUCAAUAAAUGUUUUUCUUUUAGUUAAUUAAACUCCAAGAUUUGGUUUAACCAAGUAAACCGUCUGGGAUUUUUCAUGUUUUAUUUAUUACUUUUCUUAAAAAGAGAGAUAUAUGUAUUAGGGAUUUAUUUUGGAGUAAUAUAGCAUUACCUAGAGUAAAGACUUCAGUUGAUUCAAUAUGGUUCUGCAUCUGAGGAAUGAUAGAUUAACAGAAUUGUUGAGACUACUACAUAAGCUACCCAUGAAUACACCUCUAGACAGUUGUAAGGAAUAAAUAGAGUACUUCUGGGAUAUUUAUGAUCCCAUUGUAGUGUAGGUACCUGCAGAAAAUAUAAAUCCCCUUAUUUUUCUCUAGGAUGCUCUUAAAGUUUAUGGAUUUGGAGAUUUGAUGUCCAAAUAUGAAAGCUUUCUGCUGUUGAAAAGUCCCUGAUUCUAGGCAAAUUCAUUUUAUAAUUUCCUUAAAAAGUAUGUAAAGUAUAUACUGUUUGUUUUAUUUUACAAGGCUAAUCAAAACUGAGAAAAAAUUAAUCUUUUGCCUCUAUCCAUCUUUUGAGUUUUAGGUUUCAUAAUAAAUACAAACACAGAUUAAGAAAUAUGGCGGGAACUUGUAGUCUUUUUCAAAUAGUGUACCACAUCUUCCUACUUUGGAGUCAUAUAUGAGUGAAUUGUGAUUGAGGAAAUGCCCCCAGGUCUUGGAAAUCAAGAGUGAGGAUUGGCAAGAAGGAGAAAGAGGCAUACCUCUCCUAAACCUCAUCACUAUGCUACUAAAAUCUGCUCUUAUGUAAUUAGGUCAGUGUGCCAUGGACCAGGACCUGAGUGUAUGAAGGCUUGCUUAUUUGCACUGGGAGUAGAGCUAGCCUGGUUCCAUCACGAUGGCUUCAUUCUCUGUUUCCCUAUUUGUUAGUAUCACCUUCAGCUUCACUCUACUGGUAGCCUGAUUUCUAACUGCUUAUAAUUCAAAGACCCCUAAAGUUGAAAGAAGCUUUUCUCUCAGUGGGUGUUUGUAUUUAAUAAGAAGGAGGAAGAAAACGCACCAGUUUGCCUGUGGGUGGUAAUUCUUCACAAGGUUGCAGCUAACAUUUGGUUUCCAUUUAUCACUCUCAGUUGCCCACGUGGUUAUCCUGGCCUUUAUGCUGUUUGUAGUAAAUUUCAUUUUACUUGUGAUUGCCCAUUUUCUGUUAGAAGGUCAUGGGGAUGGACCAGAGAAUUUCUGAACACAAAUACGGCAUACUUUAUGUUUUAUCAUUUGAUGAUAGUAAUCCAUCCUUAUCGGUAAUAUUUUCCAAAGUAGGUUUGUAACAUUUUGCCCACUUCAGAAGUAGGGCUUAUGAGUAUUAAAUACUUGUUAACAGUCAGAUGAAGAUACUGAUUGGUAGAAUAGAAAUUGAGAUAAUUAAUUUUGAAGAAUGGUUAGUCAGCAGAAACCAUCUGCCUCUUCAGAGUGUACUUCAGGAAGACAUUGGAACUAAUGCUGAGAAAAGCUUAGCCAUACAAUGCAUGCAGUAUAGUUCAGUUUGGAUGGACUUUUGCAUAAUAAAAUAUAUAAGCUGAAAGAUUAGGAAAGAAUUGCUUUCUAAAACUUACUGGACAUUUUGUAAAAUCAUGAUCUCUUAUAUUUACUAAUUUUUCCUGCUUAAAGAUAAGUAGAAAAUAAGAAAAUUGGGAGAAAACAGAUUAUCUCAAAAUCAUGAUUUUUAUUUAUGUAACUUUUGAGGGAAUGUAUUCAGUAUGUAUAGUGAAUCACAACUCUAAUACUCUUUCUUCCUUAGUAUUCAAUAGUGAAUAUGUCUCAGAGCCCACAUCCAAAGCCUUACCCAUCUGUAAAAGUCUGCUGGCCUUACCUAUAAAUUAAUAAAUAAAUAUUGAUUUUAAGAUUUAAAUAAGUAGAAAGGAAGGUACAGAAAAUGGUAAUGGUGAUGGCAUAAAAUAAGGUUGGAAAGUUAUAAAGGAACCAGAUCAUGAAGGGCUUUUUAUACUUACUAUAUUUGUUUUCUAUUGCUGCUAUAAUAAACUACUAUAAAUUUAAUGGCUUAAAGCAAUACCUGCUUAGUAUUCCACAGUCCUGUGGGACAGAAGUCUGGGCACAGUGUGACUCAGCUGGGCUCUCUGCUUAGGGUUUCACAAGGCCAAAAUCAAUAUGUGAGCAGAACUGUUUUCUAUAUCAGAGUCUCUGGAGGAGAAUCACUUUGCAGGUACAGUUAGAAUGGUGUCAGGAUUCUCUUCUUUCUUUUACUUUGCAUAUGUGCCCCUCCAACUUCAAACCAGCAAUGAUGUGUCAAAUUCUGGUGCUUUGACUCUCUCUGACUUCUUCUUUUACUACUGGUUGAAAAAACUAUGUUUUUGAGGGCUCAUAUGAUUAGAUUAGGCCUACCCAGAUGUGGGAGCCAAAAUUCUGCCUACCACAAUCAUGUUGAAGAGUUAGGACUUUAUUUUGAUGGGUAUUGUGCAGUUUUAAGUAGAGGAGUGAUGUGAUACAAUUUGUGCUUUAUAACAAACCCUGUGACUAUCAUAAAGACAAAGAUUGUCUUGGGGCCACCCUGAGGUCAUGGAAAGCCAUUAGCUAAUUUAAGAAGAAGCCACCCUGGGGUCAUGAAAAGCCAUCAGCUAUUUUAAGAAGAAACGGAUUUCAUACAGUGAAUAAAGUGCUUAUAAAAUCUGUGAAAGGGCUGGAGGAGCAGACUUAGGCUUCCUCUCUAGGACUGACUCUAGAAUAGUACCUUGGAGCUGGCCCAACCAAGGGCACUGCUCACCUUUGUCAGAAAUCAGAUGAAGGGAAAAUAAAAUCAUCAAGCUUCUGUCCCCAGUGCUGACCACACCACUUUAGCUGUGUUCUGGAGAUCAGAAACUGCUGCUCGGGGCGUUGACUCUAGCAACAGACUGCUUGAACUGUGAUCUAGUCGUUUGGAAGCCUCUACCUAAAUUAUUUCCACACUAUGUCUGCUAGAUCUACUGCCUCUGUCUCCAGGGCUGUGAUUGAUAGAAGCUAAAUCUCAUUGGCAAGAGAGUGUGGGAAAUGUAAUUUUCAGCUUUUCAGUUUUGUAAGUACAGGAAAGCCUACCAGGAGGAGGUUAAAACAGAUAUUGAGAAAGCUUAUCUAGUUUUUGCAUCCACAAAAAAUUGUAGCAAUAUAGGUUAUUAAUGAUUGUGGCCUGAAUUUAUAAGGCAAGUGAACAGGAGA